AGAGUUUGAUCCUGGCUCAGGAUGAACGCUAGCGGCAGGCUUAACACAUGCAAGUCGAGGGGCAGCGGGGAGGAAGCUUGCUUUCUCCGCCGGCGACCGGCGCACGGGUGAGUGACACGUAUGCAACCUGCCCCUGUCAGGGGGACAACCCGCCGAAAGGCGGGCUAAACCCGCGUACAUGCCACCGGGGCAUCCCGGAGGCAGGAAAGGCUUCGGCCGGACAGGGAUGGGCAUGCGGCGCAUUAGGCAGUAGGCGGGGUAACGGCCCACCUAACCGACGAUGCGUAGGGGUUCUGAGAGGAAGGUCCCCCACACUGGUACUGAGACACGGACCAGACUCCUACGGGAGGCAGCAGUGAGGAAUAUUGGUCAAUGGUCGGGAGACUGAACCAGCCAAGCCGCGUGAGGGAGGAAGGUACAGAGUAUCGUAAACCUCUUUUGUCAGGGAACAAAGGCGGGGACGUGUCCCCGGAUGAGUGUACCUGAAGAAAAAGCAUCGGCUAACUCCGUGCCAGCAGCCGCGGUAAUACGGAGGAUGCGAGCGUUAUCCGGAUUUAUUGGGUUUAAAGGGUGCGCAGGCGGUCUGUUAAGUCAGCGGUCAAAGCCCGGGGCUCAACCCCGGCCCGCCGUUGAAACUGGCAGUCUCGAGUUGGAGAGAAGUAUGCGGAAUGCGCGGUGUAGCGGUGAAAUGCAUAGAUAUCGCGCAGAACUCCGAUUGCGAAGGCAGCAUGCCGGCUCCACACUGACGCUGAGGCACGAAAGCGUGGGUAUCGAACAGGAUUAGAUACCCUGGUAGUCCACGCAGUAAACGAAUGAAUGCUGGCUGUCCGGGGGGAUUGACCCCUGGGUGGCGAAGCGAAAGCGAUAAGCAUUCCACCUGGGGAGUACGCCGGCAACGGUGAGACUCAAAGGAAUUGACGGGGGCCCGCACAAGCGGAGGAACAUGUGGUUUAAUUCGAUGAUACGCGAGGAACCUUACCCGGGCUCAAACGGGGAGUGACUCAGGCAGAGACGCCUGUUUCCCACGGGACACUCCCCGAGGUGCUGCAUGGUUGUCGUCAGCUCGUGCCGUGAGGUGUCGGCUUAAGUGCCAUAACGAGCGCAACCCCCGCGUGCAGUUGCUAACAGAUAACGCUGAGGACUCUGCACGGACUGCCGGCGCAAGCCGCGAGGAAGGCGGGGAUGACGUCAAAUCAGCACGGCCCUUACGUCCGGGGCGACACACGUGUUACAAUGGGUGGUACAGCGGGAAGCCAGGCGGCGACGCCGAGCGGAACCCGAAAUCCACUCUCAGUUCGGAUCGGAGUCUGCAACCCGACUCCGUGAAGCUGGAUUCGCUAGUAAUCGCGCAUCAGCCAUGGCGCGGUGAAUACGUUCCCGGGCCUUGCACUCACCGCCCGUCAAG
This 1405-nucleotide ribosomal RNA is filed under the name uncultured bacterium. RNAcentral's name for it is "partial 16S ribosomal RNA". It matches the Rfam family "Bacterial small subunit ribosomal RNA". The record is from RNAcentral.